UGGCUUUGGUGAGUGACCUAAAGGUAUCUAUGGUCACGGUUUUGGGGGGUGACUUAAAAGAAUCUGUGGUCACGGUUUUCUGAAAAAGGGUGACCAUAGAGUAUCUAUAGUCACGGUUAUUGAGGGUGGGCUAAAGUAGCCUAUGGUCACGGUUUUUUUAAUUUUAUUUUUAAAGGUAUCCCCAAAACUGCUUCGUUUCUUCUCUUUAACUAAAAUCCCAUUUUUUCAUUUAUUUUUAUCAUCCCUCCCCAAAAACAAAACGUGCCCAUUUUCCCUCCCUCCCAAAAUCCCCAUUAGUCCCCGGUAACUUAGGGAAAAAAGAAAAAGAAGAAGAAAUCCCUAGCUAGCCAUCAAAACCCCUGUGUGUGGUGGUGCGCCGUUUCGUUCUUCUUCUACCUCCUUCGGAGCCCACCAUCGCUGACCUGAACUCUGUCUCUCUUCACUGCGUGAGCCGAGGGUCGUCGUUGCUUCUUUGCCUCCUCACGAGGCUUGUUGUUGCUUCCCUAUUUCGCAUCGUGUGUCGCCGUCACUGCUUCGCAUCGUGUCUCUGCCUCACCGCGAGCUCCCUGUCACCGUGAGCUAACCCUGUGUACUCUUUUCAAGUUCAGCAGAAGCAAUAGGGUUUGGGUUCUCGUCUAAAUAUUUUCAAGCUCAGCAAUAGGGUUUUAAUACCUUUGAUGCUAUUAAGUGCGUGGAGAAAGUUUGGAGGAAGCUGCAUGUGACAAUAUAUCCACUUGAAGUGGGAGAAGUUAUAUAUCACAGCUCUCAGCCACGGCCUGGAAAAUAGUUCUACACUUUGUAAUAAGGGUGGAGAUGGAUUUGAAGUGGGGAAGAGAAAGGUGAAGACCAAGUUGACAGCAAGCGCUAAAUUUUUAGCUGCACAGAACAGGUGCAAGUAAUGAUAGAAGGCGCCCAACAAUCUCCGCCUGAUACGAGUAGUGCACCAAAUGAUGCGCGGCGAAGCAUUCCUCCUUCACCUGGAUCGAACCAUGUAUCAAAGGAUUUCGAACAGGAAGACAUGAUGUGAAGAAAAUAUGUUCCAUACAAAUAUGACAUGGGAUGGGUCUUACACUUUAGUUAUCUAAAUGUAAUUUUU
This is a non-coding RNA of Arachis ipaensis, 1096 nucleotides long. Lineage: Eukaryota; Viridiplantae; Streptophyta; Magnoliopsida; Fabales; Fabaceae. The record is from RefSeq and is a predicted model, not a curated record.